Molecule: ribosomal RNA, 1402 nt
Filed under: uncultured bacterium
Lineage: Bacteria
Description: bacterial SSU rRNA
Rfam family: Bacterial small subunit ribosomal RNA
Source: RNAcentral
UUUGAUCAUAGCUCAGGACGAACGCUGGCGGCGUGCCUAAUACAUGCAAGUAGAACGCUGAAGAGAGGAGCUUGCUCUUCUUGGAUGAGUUGCGAACGGGUGAGUAACGCGUAGGUAACCUGCCUUGUAGCGGGGGAUAACUAUUGGAAACGAUAGCUAAUACCGCAUAACAAUAGGUGACACAUGUCAUUUAUUUGAAAGGGGCAAUUGCUCCACUACAAGAUGGACCUGCGUUGUAUUAGCUAGUAGGUGAGGUAACGGCUCACCUAGGCGACGAUACAUAGCCGACCUGAGAGGGUGAUCGGCCACACUGGGACUGAGACACGGCCCAGACUCCUACGGGAGGCAGCAGUAGGGAAUCUUCGGCAAUGGGGGCAACCCUGACCGAGCAACGCCGCGUGAGUGAAGAAGGUUUUCGGAUCGUAAAGCUCUGUUGUAAGUCAAGAACGAGUGUGAGAGUGGAAAGUUCACACUGUGACGGUAGCUUACCAGAAAGGGACGGCUAACUACGUGCCAGCAGCCGCGGUAAUACGUAGGUCCCGAGCGUUGUCCGGAUUUAUUGGGCGUAAAGCGAGCGCAGGCGGUUUGAUAAGUCUGAAGUUAAAGGCUGUGGCUCAACCAUAGUUCGCUUUGGAAACUGUCAAACUUGAGUGCAGAAGGGGAGAGUGGAAUUCCAUGUGUAGCGGUGAAAUGCGUAGAUAUAUGGAGGAACACCGGUGGCGAAAGCGGCUCUCUGGUCUGUAACUGACGCUGAGGCUCGAAAGCGUGGGGAGCGAACAGGAUUAGAUACCCUGGUAGUCCACGCCGUAAACGAUGAGUGCUAGGUGUUGGAUCCUUUCCGGGAUUCAGUGCCGCAGCUAACGCAUUAAGCACUCCGCCUGGGGAGUACGACCGCAAGGUUGAAACUCAAAGGAAUUGACGGGGGCCCGCACAAGCGGUGGAGCAUGUGGUUUAAUUCGAAGCAACGCGAAGAACCUUACCAGGUCUUGACAUCCCGAUGCUAUUUCUAGAGAUAGAAAGUUACUUCGGUACAUCGGUGACAGGUGGUGCAUGGUUGUCGUCAGCUCGUGUCGUGAGAUGUUGGGUUAAGUCCCGCAACGAGCGCAACCCCUAUUGUUAGUUGCCAUCAUUCAGUUGGGCACUCUAGCGAGACUGCCGGUAAUAAACCGGAGGAAGGUGGGGAUGACGUCAAAUCAUCAUGCCCCUUAUGACCUGGGCUACACACGUGCUACAAUGGUUGGUACAACGAGUUGCGAGUCGGUGACGGCAAGCUAAUCUCUUAAAGCCAAUCUCAGUUCGGAUUGUAGGCUGCAACUCGCCUACAUGAAGUCGGAAUCGCUAGUAAUCGCGGAUCAGCACGCCGCGGUGAAUACGUUCCCGGGCCUUGUACACACCGCCCGUC